GGACGAACGCUGGCGGCAUGCCUAACACAUGCAAGUCGAACGGAGUAAUGACUUCGGUUAUUACUUAGUGGCGAACGGGUGAGUAACACGUGAAUAAUCUGCCCUGUACGAUGGGAUAACAGCUGGAAACGGCUGCUAAUACCGUAUAUGACCACGCCGAGGCAUCUCGGAGGGGUGAAAGCGCUUAAGCGGUACAGGAUGAGUUCGCGUCCAAUUAGCUAGUUGGUGAGGUAACGGCCCACCAAGGCGACGAUUGGUAGCCGACCUGAGAGGGUGAUCGGCCACACUGGAACUGAGACACGGUCCAGACUCCUACGGGAGGCAGCAGUGGGGAAUAUUGGGCAAUGGAGGAAACUCUUACCCAAGCAAUGCCGCGUGAGUGAUGAAGGUCUUCGGAUUGUAAAGCUCUUUGAUUGGGGACGAAUAAAUGACGGUACCCAAGGAACAAGCCCCGGCUAACUAUGUGCCAGCCGCCGC
This 477-nucleotide ribosomal RNA is filed under the name uncultured bacterium. RNAcentral describes it as "bacterial SSU rRNA". It matches the Rfam family "Bacterial small subunit ribosomal RNA", at positions 27 to 518 of the family's 1533-position model. The record is from RNAcentral.